Long non-coding RNA from Equus asinus (donkey), 1189 nucleotides. The record is from Ensembl. NCBI's taxonomy places the organism in Eukaryota, Metazoa, Chordata, Mammalia, Perissodactyla, Equidae.
GGCGGAGCCCGACCUCACAAGCACUUCCACCUGGCGUGCGGACUGCUUGGGAGCAAUCCCCGACCGGCCUCGGGACGGAGCGCAGGAUCCCGGCCGCCCGCGACCCCUCCUCAGGCGCCGCCUCCCGCAGCCCGGACAGCGCCCUCGCGGGUCGGCCUCGAUGGCCGGGAGCUGACGGAGUCGCCCCCUGGGCCGGCCGGCCGCAGACUCCCGUCAGCGGCGCUGCGGCCCCCGCCGACGUCCCCUUCCCACUUGUUCAGGGGCGUCCAGACCCCCUGAAUGGGGACGCCGACCCCGUGUCCAAUGGCAGCCCAGGUGAUGUGCAACCUCAGGUGCAGCAGCCUGCCACCGUCGAUGCCCAUGAGUAGUCUCCCAGCUCCUCGCAGCCCGCCGAGCAUGUGCAGGGAGCCGGCCGCACACUGCUGACUGGAGACCGCUUGACUCGCCCCCAUUUCUCUCGCCAGAGCGAGGCUCCGCGUGCCCACUUGCUGGCAGAGACAGGACAACCCUCAGGCCGCAGGUUGUUGGGGACUCUGGCCCCUGGGAACCUCAUCGAGCGCGGGCCUCGGCAGAGGGAGCUGCAGGGGGCAGCGCCUGCCUGGACCCUUGGCACUUCGUACGCAGUUCAGCACAGCCUCAAGGGCCAGGACCUGAAGGAGCCAACUCUAGUCCUGAUGACUUUUUGGUUCCUGGGAGCCCUGGCUACCUUUUGUUCGAAUUAGUUCGAGAGACUCCCUUGUAUCCGUCCGAAAUGCUCGUUUUUCCUUAGCUAGUUUUGGUUCAGUAAAUAACACUGUCUUUAAGAAGACGAAUAAAGAGUUUCAGAACAUAGAUAUCUAAAUUAAUUUGCACUUCGAUUUUCUUUUGGUGAAAAAGAGAUUUAGUCUUGGAUUGUCACGUUAACAAGGAAGGCUUUUCACCAAAAGGAUCAGACUUCUGGAAAGAACUACAGGCUUAUGUGAUGGAGGAAAAGCAAGGAGAACUUGGAUGACAGCGUUUUGAAAGUUACUGGUACUACAUAUCAAGUUGGAGGAAAAAUUGAAGAGAAAUAUUUUGGCUGCAUAAUUCUCCUCCCAUCCCUACCCAUGCCAAGUCUUUUCCUUUGAGCUCUGAACCAUUAACUCAUUAACUCUUAGUGCACUCAGAGGCGUUACUAAGCUAAAGGGGAUUUUCCUCACCAGGGAAGAAA